UGUAAUGACUCUCGGCAACGGAUAUCUCGGCUCUUGCAUCGAUGAAGAACGUAGCGAAAUGCGAUACUUGGUGUGAAUUGCAGAAUCCCGUGAACCAUCGAGUCUUUGAACGCAAGUUGCGCCCGAAGCCAUUAGGUCGAGGGCACGUCUGCCUGGGUGUCACA
Molecule: ribosomal RNA, 164 nt
Filed under: Poitea carinalis
Lineage: Eukaryota; Viridiplantae; Streptophyta; Magnoliopsida; Fabales; Fabaceae
Also listed under: 2 other names
Description: 5.8S ribosomal RNA
Rfam family: 5.8S ribosomal RNA
About the family: 5.8S ribosomal RNA (5.8S rRNA) is a component of the large subunit of the eukaryotic ribosome. It is transcribed by RNA polymerase I as part of the 45S precursor that also contains 18S and 28S rRNA.
Source: RNAcentral